RNAcentral lists this long non-coding RNA (1879 nucleotides) under Homo sapiens (human). Its description in RNAcentral is "HSALNT0018071". Lineage: Eukaryota; Metazoa; Chordata; Mammalia; Primates; Hominidae. The record is from RNAcentral.
CUGAUGGAGAAGAGAAGACAGGACCCAGGCACAAGCAGCGCAAUCUGUAUGAACAAAUACAAGAAUCACAUACUCCACAGUCCCAUGAGCCACGGGGAUAGAUAGCAAAGGGUUCCCCAGCAGCCCUGGCAGGCAGGUAGACAGCCACAGCUAUGCGGGCCCUUAGGUCAGCCCUCUCAGAUGAUCUGAAACCACUUCAGUCUGUCUGAAGCUCUCAUGAACAUUUCCUGUUAAGUAUUGUUUUCAAUAAUUUAUUCUGGAGGAGAUGUUGGCUCCCCUGGGAAUCACUUUGCAGCACAUCCCCUCCAGAGACCAGCUACAGACAUCAGGCGCCAGGAUAGAAGAGUCGCUCUGUGUAGACGGUGGACCAGGAAUAAGGUUGCCUCAAAAAAAUAAUAGCUGACAUCCGCCCCACCCUCCACUCUUCAAUCAAGCCAGUCAGGCAAUGAACCUUUUCACACCUGAGGGAUUAUUUUUGCUUUUGUCUGAUUCUGCUGUGUUAAAGGAAACAAGUGUUGAGAAAGGACUCAAUUAACUGAGCUUCAGGAUAAUCCAAGGUGAAGAAAAACAAGAGCUGACAAAGAAAAGAAAUGGGCAUGUGCAAAGCGAUGAAAAAUCUGUGUUGCCUGACAAACAACUGUCAGUGAAACAAGGCUAUAUUUUACCUUAUUUUUUCAGUUCUCAUAUCAUAAACAAAAGAUGCUCUUGGACCACCCUGGUGAUAAUCUGAUAGUCCUUUGCAGAACAAAGAGGUGAUCCCGAACCAGGUCAGUGGAUAUGCGUACAGAAAACAGAACACCAGUCAGCUGACCUUGCUGUCUUUGCUGAGCUGUGUCCCAUUAUCACAGUCAAGUUCACCUUACAGCUCAAUUGGCAUGCAACAUUUUUCUCAUAUGUCAAAUGAAAUGAGAAGUAAAAUGUGUCCUGAGAUCUAAAUGGUAGCUGAUAAAAAUGAAAGUUUCCUAAUGAUACUUCUUUAAAAAUAAAUAAAUAAAUAAGACCUAGUUACUUCUACAGACAGGGCCCUGCAAGGGGGCAGACACUAGUUAGGUUUUUACAAAUUUUAAUGCCUGAGAUGUUUCUACACAGAAUGCCCUUAGCUUAACAACACGGGACUGAUUUAACACAAACAGGGAGAUCCUUGCUGAGAAAAUAGGCAUGGACUUUGGUCUUGUUGUCAAAGAUGAAAGUGCCCCUUGGCACAUAUAGAGACAGAAGGCAGAUUUAUAUGUGCAACCGGACAGGGCUGAGGAGAUUAAACUGUGCUUAGCAGCUUCAGUACCCAUUUGGGCUCAUGGUGAAUGGCAUUUUUGUUCCACCUUGCUGUCAGUAUUCUCGGUUGCUUCAGAUUGGUGUCAAUCAGCAUUAGAAAUUACACCACUGGAAGACUCAGGUAUUUCUGAUUUUCCUUCUCAUUCAUUUUGCCAAGUGGGAAUUGUUCACGAACUUUUCUGCAGAACAAUAGCUCCCUUCCUAUGGCUGCAGUCCAAGCCUCUGUAACAGUGUAAUUCAUUUUCUAGAAAUGCUUGGUCCACAAUUUCCAUUGACUGUGGUCACAGACUUUUCCCUUCCCCAGCUACUCCUUUUUCUACAACUCUGGAUUUUGUGGCUCAAAAUUUGGGACACUGACAAGGACUCAACUUGAGCCAGACCAGAAGAAAUGAAUUUGAAUCUGAAUUAAAAGAGGAAUGAUUUAAAAGAUGUGAAGGAGGACUUUUUUUCUUUUUUUUUUUUUUGAUAUGGAGUUUCAUUCUGUCACCCAGGCUGGAGUACAGUGGUACGAUCUUGGCUGACUGCAGCCUCUGCCUCCUGGGUUCAAGUAAUUUUCCUGUCUCAGCCUCCCGAGUAGCUGGGAUUACAGGUGCCCACCACCACAUCC